RNAcentral lists this long non-coding RNA (5298 nucleotides) under Nicotiana tabacum (common tobacco). RNAcentral describes it as "long non-coding RNA (NTAB_LNC000839)". Lineage: Eukaryota; Viridiplantae; Streptophyta; Magnoliopsida; Solanales; Solanaceae. The record is from RNAcentral.
AAUUUCAUACUUGUGUAGUAAGAUUACCCCCGAAAAAUAAAAUGACGAAGCAAUACCAUCCGUUGACUAAAUAUUACAACAUAAUACACCACAUUCAUUUGUUUAGCUUCAUUAGUCCAAUUGCAUUUUUAGCUUGCUUCUAUGAGAAUGAGAAAGAUAAAAACAAUCAGAUAAAUCGUGUUCAUGUUGGUAGUCCCACUAAUACAAAAUAUUGGAUAAAAUUUGGACAGUUGCAGUUGACAACAAAUACUUCAUCUUAUAUCCACCUAAAGAAAAGAAAAUCAAGCAUUAGUAUUAUUGGUAAGACUUACAUAUGGUAGUAUAACAAUCAUAAAAUUCAGCUAGUUUGCAUAUUCAGCAAAACAAUCAUAAAUUCAUUAAUUUUGGAGGAAAAAGAGGGGCAUAAAAUAUCAGCAUGGACUAAGAGGAGAAAGAAAAGAUUCAGACACGGUAGACCUAUUGAAAUGCCCCCAUCAAAGGCAUGUUCUAAAUCUGAAUUGGGUCUCUUCUUUUUAGCAAUCUAUAGCUAGGCAUUAAAUAAUGAUUUACAACCUUGGAGGACCUAUUUAGGGAUAUGAACCUUUAACCUAUUUCAUUGGAGGAGACUAUCUUCAUUGAUUUUGGUAUUGAUGUAAUAACUGAAAAGUGAUACACACCAAAUUUAAAAUAGAAAAUCUGCAAUAGAAGCACUACCAGUAAAUCACAAUUCACAACCAUACUCGCAUAUUCUGUGACUUAGGAGAGAUCAUGUAGUGGUAUUUCUAUUUCAAUCACCUGACCCUACUCUAUUCAUGAGAACAACUGCUAUCUAUGUUGAAUGAAUGCGUCCAGGUUACUACAAAAAUUUCUAGACAAAUUCUAACUUCUGCAAAUACUACUUCAAUUGCCUUAUUUCUAUUAUAUACUUACAAGCAACGACCAUCUCAUCAUGACCAUCUAUCGAAGAGAUGCACCAAAAAGAUCUGAAAAACAUAAAGCAGAUAAACGAACCUUCAAAAUAUAAGUUUUGAGUAGUAUUUAAACACAUGUUAAAGGAUACAAUGAAAAGAAGCAUAUUGCCAACGACAAGUCUGUUUUUUCAUUUCCUUGCAAAACUUACUAAUGACAAACUAAGUGAAUGUGUGGGCUAAAGAUGUUGCAACCUGAUCAUUCUAGAUAUGUCCAUGUUAUUGUCCUUGGUGGGGCUUCAGUGAGAGUUCAUCAUUUAUAAUUUGCUGCUUUUGAGGCUAGUGAAAAAUAUUCAACAUGUUGUGCGAGAGAUUUGGAAACAACAGUUAUCACUUAUCACAUGCCAUCAGUUCUUGCUCGAUCCUUAUCUAUAUGAAAUAAAGCGUGCGUCUAUACCGAUAAGUAGAUAUUGAUUGAUCUCAACUAAUCAAGGGGAAAAUGUUUGAUAUUUUGGUCAAUUCAAAAUAUCAUAAUAAAAAUACCCCCGUACCCUGACAACUUAAAAAAAGUGAAAAGAAGAAAGGAAUGUUGAGGCUAGGAAUGAAGUGCAAAGAGAAAACUGGAGAAAUAAAACUCACAUGCAGACAUCCACUAAUCAAACAAAUCAAAUGCUCAAAAAACAAAAUCAGAGAACAUAGCUUACCAAUUAAUACAAUCGCAGCACACCAGAUUGAUCGGCAAAGGACUGUCAAUCCAACUAAAGAAGAUACUAUCAUGUGACAGAAGCAUUAUUCAAAGUUCAAACUUGCCGCAAUUAUUACUCCCACCGUUCCAGUUUAUGUAAACCUAGCUAUUUCCUUUUUGGUCCGUUCCAAAAAGAAUGACCCCUUUCUAAAUUUGGAAACAAUUUAGCUUAAACUUCCAAUUCUACCCUUAAUGAGAAGCUUUUAUAACCACACAAAUACUCUGGUCCCCAUUUUGACUUGUUUAGGACCACAAAUUCUAAAAAAGUCAUCAUUUUUUCUUAAACUCCGUGAUCAGUCAAACAUGUUCACAUAAAUUGGAACAGAGGGAGUAUUAUUGAAAAAAAUGGAAGGGAAGGAAAAGAUAAAGCUGUAAUUUUGAUUACUUUUGCUCCACGCGUAUAGUAGUCACCGGAACAUCUAUGUACAAGAUAAAAAGUCAUAAGCAAGCUGCGGUAAGGACUUUAUUUUCCUGCAAAACAAUUGUUGAUGUAUAGAAAAACAUGUUACUAAUUUAUAUGAGGGAAUCAAUUAGGAUAUUUGCGAACGAACAUUUAAACUUGUUGCUAAAUUUUUAUGUUUGAGUAGCUUAGUAACUUUUAUUCUCUGUGUAAAAGCAUAGGAGUUAGCAGGACUUCAGAAUAUGCAAGCAUUUGAACUAUCUCGGAGGAGUUGAUUGAAAUAUUUCAAGAAUUUCUCAAGGAUUAAUCUUCAUUUCCUGCACAUACUCUAGUCCCUCUCGAGAUAGUAAUUCUGGGGUUUUCACAUUAUAAAAUGACAUAAAGAUGAUCUCCGAAUGAUCUUCUUAGCUGCUACUUGAUUUUCAAAUGUAUCAACCAAAUCAGACAACCCAAUGAAUGAAAGCUCUUAAUCUUCAUUAUACUCCAGCAUAGAGCGAUAAUGUCUCAAAUUCUAGAGUAAUCUUAAUAUCUCGUUCUGAACACUUAUGUCAUUUGAGUAUCAAAUAAAUCUCAGUUGUAACCUAAAAGCAACAACCAUAAAUUCCAGCUUUGUUUCUUUGAUACUAUGUUGUAGAUUAGUUUUAUGGAGUUACAACCAACAAAUCAGAAGUAGAAAGAUUCAAAAAAUGACGAAGAAACAAUAAUAAUUCAACGAUGAUAGAUAAACAAAAUUGAUUGUCCUUGUAAUAUUGCAUAGAUCAGAGAGCUAUUGUUGAAAUGUGAGACCCGUUUGGCCAUAGAUCACUUUUGACACGGAACCAACCCCCAGAGGAAACAGAGGGACAACAACACAAAACUGCAGCACAUCCCUAUUUUUAUUUCUAAAGCAAGAAAGAACAACGACACUGCCACUCUUCAAUUAAUUUCUAAAUCAAUUCCCAAAUAGAAUUUCAGUGCACCUUUAUCAUCUCUCAACGCAAUUCUAAUGUGCAAAGUCGCCCAAACCUGUAGAAGUAAGAGGUUCUUACUCCCAUGUAGUCUAAAUACUUUUUUUCUUACUAUUUUCUUCAAUCCUUUAUCUUCUUUUUUAUAACAAGAAUAAGUACAACUAUAGAUUUGUUGCCUAACAUAAACUUUUCCUAAGCAUUCAUCCCACAAAUCAAAGUAGGCAAAUAACUUUAAGCUUUUCCUAAUCAUGUAUAUUCCAAUCAAUCAACCUCCAUUCCAUACAUCAUCCUAUUUCUUUGGAUGCUGUCAUAGCCAAAAAGAAGUGACAAAAUAAGACGGUAAACUUUCCUCUUCCAUUGUUAUCUUCGAGAAAUAGAGUAAGACAGUGGACACAUAGAAGGUUUGAAGAUGAAAUUUCAUAAAGAUACCCCACGCCCUAGAUCACUUUCAGCAUUCUAAAGAUGCCAAGUGAAUGUAGAAAUUUGAAAGUUCUAAAAGAUGGAUAUAUAUUCUUUGUUCCGAGUUGGCGAUUUUGGUGUUAUAGAUGUAGUUUAUUGUAAGGUCUGUAAUGUUAUUUGAAAAGUGUUCAUGACGGCUAGUAAGAUGAUAAAGCCCAUAAUACUGUAUGUAAUACCCGAAAGAAUUGUACUCUAGCUAGUUUGUUGAACAUACCAUCACAAUCUCGGUGUUGUUUGUAAUUAGAAAAUUUACCUUUUUAAUCAAAAGCAAUAUAAGGAGAAAAUAUGGUCAAAGUAUAGAAUCAGAUAUGCUGAGCACAUUUUUCCUGAAAUAAAAAGAACUCAAUUUAGUAAAAAUUUUGAUUCAUAUCUUCUCAAGCUCAACCUGAGACUAUACUUUCCUAAAGUCGGAAUAGGAUCGUUCUCCACUUCACGAGAUUUUAAAAAGAACAACUUAAUUUUGUAAAUACUUCAUUAAUCAUUUUUCCCAAAUAAAGUUUUUAAACAUAUAAAAUCUCUAUAAGAAGACAAAAGUGAAAGAACACAAGUAUUUUUCUUGGCUGUACAUUAAAAAUAAAAAGAAUGCAUUUGAAACAUUAGUUUGCUAAUUUCAGUACUGUUGAAGAAGCCUUGUAAAACAUUAAAUUCGGAUAGCCUAACAUACAAUUAUUUCUUGUUAGCUAAGAAGUCCUUUAAAGUAUGCAUCAACUACCGUCAACAGUCAGAUAAAUAUUACUUCUCAUUUAAUUCUAUCCUCUCAUGUCUACAGCAGUUUAGAAAAUCCACAAAAUUGUUUAGAUCCUGGGGCCAUCUUACAAUUACACCAAGAAUACACAAACUGCAAUGACUUGAAUUGAAUACAUGCUAAGGCCCAAUAAGUAUUUUGAAAAAAACUAUAGUUUCUUUCCACAUUGUGCAAAAAAAGCACGAAGGAACUUAUUACUGGAUGUCUUUGUGAAUGUAAUAGAAAAUCUCAUGAAUUAAGCAUAAAAAACCUUUUGUUCUUGGGGAUAAUUGCAUUUUUAAUGAGUUACUAAUAUUGAAAAGGGGAAGUAAGUAAAAGUAAACCAAAAUGUGCAGAACUUACCUGGUACAAGUGAAGCAAUAUUCCUUUCCCCACUUUCAGUUAACAACUUCCUUUAAGAAAAAUCUGAAAAAUCAAUAUUUUGGGACCAUUAUAUUCCUACUAAAUGAAUACAAAAAUAUUCGGUAAUAUCAAAAGUUCAUAUUUCAAACAAAACCCAAGUAAGCGAUACACUAUUCAGUUUAAUAGAGUCUCGUCAAAAAAUAAUAAAAUAGGAGUAAUAAUUUUGAAAAAGAAGAAGAUAAACCCAAUUAAAGAACAUUGUGUGAGAAAAAUAUUGUGCAUGAGUAAAUCAAACAUAUCUACUGACAUGUAUGUAUAACAUUCAAUAAAAUACUGCCCAAAAGUUCAAGAUGCCCAAAAAAUUAUAUUAAAAACAGGAUCCAAACACAUGCAUAGCCGAGAAAACAGAGGAAGAUGCAAAGAAGGUGUCCAAUUCCCUGCUUCUUAGUAGGAGAAACUGAUAGAUAAGUCACCAAAGAAACCCCAAAUUUUCCAUCUUUCAAUUUUCUUUUUCAAACUUUCAGUUCAUACACUUUGAAAACCUAAAUAGACACAAUUCAAUAAUGUAGCCACAUAAGACUCACCAAUCCUUGUAACAUUAAAAAAAUUAGAAAUGGUAAAAGAUAAAAGAUAAAAGAUAUUCUCCAUCUUCAUAAUAGCCAAAGGUAACACAUAAAUAUUAAAAAAAUGAACCCAGAUGGGACUAAAUCUAAAAACUGAGCAAAAUAUUAACAGGGGGAAGAAGAAAAAGGCAUCAGCAAGAGAAAGAGUCG